UUGGUGGAUUCCUUCAGCGAAUGGAUCUUGCAAGGAAAUAUGCUUUUGGAAAGAUGUUGAUUAUUGGAAACGAGCCUCCAUUCAAGGUCAAGGGUUUGUGGCUUUUCCGUGGGACUGAAAUCCCAAAAUUUGUGAUGGAUGAGUGUUAUGACAUGGAGCUUUACGAGUGGACCAAGGUUGACCUUUCUGACGAGGCACAAAAGGAGCGUGUGAAUCAGAUGAUUGAAGAUUUUGAGCCUUUUGAGGGUGAAACUCUCUUGGACACCAAGUGCUUCAAAUGAAGGGAAAGUGUUGAUAGACAGAUACCUAUCUUGAUCCAUCUGGUAUUGUUUGUGUAAAACAAAGACCAUAAUAUAGUGAUAUGCAAAGUUCAAGGUGUCCCACAAGCAUGUUUGGCAAUUUUUACGACUACAAAAGAUGUGCUAUAUUGUAAUAUCGAUAUAGUAAGCAAAAUGUGAAAUGAAAAGCAACUAGCAACCCAUUUAAUGCUAUGCAUUUCAAGUAAGAAAGCAAAAGGUGAAUGUAAAGCAAGACAUUUUGUUGUAGCCCUAAAAAUACUUUGACGUUAAUGUUACCAAGUGUAGCAUGUGUAAUAUAUAUUAGUCUAUGCGAUUGAUUUGUGUGACCAACAUCAAUAAUUUUAGACUCAAAGUUGAAGCUCCAGAACUGGUAUUUCCUCUUGUAAUUAGGCUCAUUUAGUAGCGUUGAGGAAAGAAACUUUUGUAAUCAUACGCUUAAUGCACCGGCUUAAAGCUCCAUUGGUCAAGAUGCUUACAACUGGUACCUGUUAAUGGCUGAGUUCCAUGAUUUUGGGUCUAGAUUGAUGCGACUCUCUCAAAGUUUAAAAAACUUUAUAGAAAAUUUUCAGGCAUUGUUGUGUGUAAUUGUAUAUGCACAAGCGAGUAAUUUAUUUUUCACGAGUGUUAGCAUUAUCUAGUCACACUUCGUAACAUACGAUUUUAGGUAGAGUUGUCUGUAGAAAAAAAAAUGACCAUCAAGGCAUACGUCCAUGUAAUGCUCUUGUCUUAUGUAUGUUGUGGCCAUGACAAUGAAGAGUCGUGGUUUCAUGUUAAAGGAUACAAACUGUAUUUUCAACACGAGAAGAUUGCAUUACAUUAAUAAGAUUUUGAGUUUUAUUUUGUAUUGGAUAUUAUAGACCAACUAGCUAGAUAACUCCAAUUAGUUGGUCUAUAAAUUAUGUAUUUCCUUUUCAUUUCAUCUGAUAAUAAUAUAAAACCCUAAUCGUUCUAUAUCUUUUAUUUUAUUUUGUUCACAUUCAUUUUGAGAGAUACGCAUAGAUGCAGAUGAUAUUGAGAAAUUAAAUAUCCUCUUACUUUUUGUUCCUACAUAUCUUCUACCCAAUAAAAUGUAACAUUUAAUGUUAAUUUAAUGAUUUCUAAUGAUAUUUUAGGAUACUAAUAUGACACAUGUCAUCAUUUAAAUGGGUAGGAGUAUUAAUAUGAACAAAUGAUAGGUGGAUAUUUAAUUUCUCGAUGAUAUUAGCCGGUUUACCUUUUGCAUUCCUUCCGUCCCAUUAGAUGAUAAAUAUCGACUAACAUGCAAACAUUUUGCAAAUUUAGGCAACAUUCAUUGGUUUUUACUAAAAAGUACCACAAGUUAUUAAAUACUACAUUUAUAUUAUCUAAAAAUAAAUGUUUUUUUUAUUUGUAAAUUUUCAUCAUGGUUUUAAUCUUACAGUAAUACAAGAUCCUCUACCAAACAAUAAAGAAUAAAUUACAAGUACAUUUAGAUAGUACCCUUUAUCACACAAAGAGAAUAAAAGAAGAUUAUAGUAAUAUAAUAUCCGAUGUGAAACAAAAAGAGCAUAAUAACAUCACAACAAAAUAAUACUAUCUACCACACAAACAAAAUACAAUACGAUUACUGUAAGAAAUACCCUAUGUCAUAUGGAAUGAAAACAAUAAGAUUUCAAUAAGACAAGUACUUUAUAAGACAAAGAUAAUACUAUAAGACUAUAGUUGGAUUCAAUCAUAUAUCAAUAACAAAGAGAAGAUAGUAAGAUAAUAUUCUUUUUUCUCCGUUAACAAAAUCAAUGACUUUAUUGUUAAUUAGUCCAUAAUAUAAGGACUUUUUUGAAGAUUACUAUCUAAAAUCCUAAAGUUAUAAACGAUUGUUGGUUUCUUGUCAUUUCAUGUAAAUAAUUGAUUGGUUUUGUUUGACCAUUACAAAUUUUAAUUUAAUAUUUGGAAAUCAAAAUGAAAAAAAUAAUUACUCAAAAUAAUAAAACUUUAAAGGUGAUAUAUAAUAAAAGGAAAUCUUUAAUAAAGUCUCAAUAUUUUGAACCAAUUUACAAUUUUGUCCAAUCUUUUAUUUUCUGAACAUAAAAGUUUCGAUUAUUUUAUAUUUUACUCAAACUAACGAAACAAUCCUUAUUUUUUUACAACAGAAAAUGACAAAUUAUCGUAUAAAAUUAGAUAAUCAGGACUUUUCUAUUCAAAAAGUAAAUGUUAUGAUUAAACCGUAAACAGACCCAAAAUAUUGAGGCUUUAUCGGAAAUUUCCUUAUAAUAAAUGAAUAAAAUUGAAACAUUAUUAAACAAAAAGAGUUAAUUCUACAGAACAUAAAACUAAAAUAAGUGAGUAGGAUAAAAAUGGUUGAUAGUAUUGACCCAAAAAUAAUUGACUAUAAUAAUAAAAAAAAAAAAAAACACUUUUUAGGUGAUUUUUAAUAUUCAGUAAAAAAAACUUUCAAUGGAGAUGAUAAGUUAGAACAAAUCAUUUUAAUUCAUUUUAAGGUUAUUUUGAGUAAUUAUUUUGACCAAAUGCAGCGAACGGGUCGCAGGUCAACCCACAACACAUGUAUUGAUCUCUAAAGUACAAGAUCAUGCCAAAUACAUUAAAAAAAACUACAAUACCAAAAAGUGUAGUUCGAUUGUCAAACAACAAUUGUUCAUAAAUUGAUGAAUUCAAACACGCCACGAUCAUUGAUACUGAACUCGCAAUCACUUAGCAUAUAAAAUUUGCUAUCAUUAACAAGAGCAUGAUAAUUUUUUUACAAUAUCAAAUAAUGAUGUUUAAUGUCAUGUAAUAGACUAAUAAUAAAGUAAAUUUACUACAUUAAGUUAAUUUAUAUAGAAAUAAGAAAAAUGUAACAUUGCAUUUGAAAAGUCAAACAUGUUUUCUAAAGGGAUAAUAACUUAAAACUCCCAUAGUCUUCAUCCAAGAAAAGUAACGAGUCCCGUUCGGUGGAAGGGCUCUCUAUGGCUAACUGGCUCGGAGGUAUUAUAUAUAUAUAUAUAUAUAUAUAGUCAUUUAUGUUUUUUUUAUAUAUUUAAUCACUUAUCUUUUUUAUUUUGUACACAUAUAACCAUUACAUUUAAUGAUCAUAUAUGUACAAAAUAAAAAACAUUAGUUACCCUUUAAAGCAUUAUCCUUUUUCUCUGUAUCAUCGUAAUCAAAUUCUUCUUCCAAUUCUUAUUUAAUCACCUAAAAGUUUGUCUUAUUAAUUCAUUCAUAGUAAACUAGUUUUUUAUAACGGCUUUAAGACAACAAUUUAAUCGGUUUAUUGCGUAACAGGUCGGUCCAAUCCAAUUUGUAAAUAACAAAAGGGAUUUAAAGCCAAAAACAAUAUUUUCUAAGACAAAAAUGUGAAAUGAUUUAAUUAUAAAAAAUAUUCUUUAUAACUCAUAUAUUUUAUAUUUUUUAAUAAGAAAUAUUCUCUAUAAUUAAUGAAUUAAAUAGUAAUAUUCACCUAUAUAUGUAUGGUACAUGUUUAUAAAAUCUGAUAACCAAAUAUCACUCUUAAAUGACCGUUAUUUUUUACCGUUCAAUAUCCAACUGGUCGACCAACCUGGUUAACCCGGGUUUUAAAACAUUGUCUUAACUCUUAACCCUAACAAAGUUCGUCUCACUCUCUUUAAACACUGAUACACUCUUGGAUUUUCUUUGUUACUCUAGAUCGAUAUCAAAAGGCGGAUCAUUCCUUUGUUCCUCUUGUCAUUUAAGCAAUGGUGCUGGUGAGUUUUUGUUGCUUUGUGUUAGUUUUAAUUAGUUGAUGCUUUUCUUAAGUGGAGUUUGUUAUGAAUCUCUUGUUUUAUAUACAAAUCGUACAGAUGUGGGUUUUGAUGUGCAUUUUUCGUAGAUUGUUUUGUUUAGUUUACUGAUUUUAACUUUCUCCCUCUUUUUCGUGAUUUGAAGAACUCACCAGGACUCCAAUCAUUCACUUCAGCUACUCUAAUCUUCGACAUUGCUGUGUUUUGCCUUUUGUGUAAUCAAUCGAUCAUGCUUUGGCUCUGUAGUUAUAGUCGUGCUGGGCAACGGGUCCAAACGGGUUAGGGUUUAGAACAUUUAGAAUAUGUCGGAGCUUAAGCAAUAUGUUUCUAUUUAGCAUGAUUAUUUGCUCUAUUCUGAAUGUUAUUUGUGGUUAUAUCAGCAUUUUCAACCUUAUGUUCUCUAUUCUGGUACGCACUUAAUUUUCUGUUUUGUUGAAGUUAUUUUAAUUGUUAAAACUUCUGUUGUUGUUGUUGUUGUUGUUGUUGUUGUUGGCUUUAUCUUUAUGCUACUUUGUGGGGUAGAAUAGAUGUCUUAGCUUUUGAUAUAUGAGAUGUGAGGCUCUAUUGUUGGUUUGAGAUCCUUUGAUAUUUAUAUUCUUGAGUCAACUGAUUCCUUUCCAUUUGAUGUAUUGUGCUUGUUACAGAUUAUACAUUCAGAAUUAAACAAGAAUGUUUGCAAGGCAUUAAUUGCUGCAGAAUAUGUUGAUGUUGAAGUCAAAAUGGCUGAAAAUUUUCAAAUGGGCAAGUCAAAUAAGACUCCUGAGUUUCUUAAGUUGAACCCUCUUGGAAAGGUAUUGUUUUAUGGUUUAAUCUUAUUUAUACUUCCUACAAAAAUUCAAUACUUUUUUUUUUUUAAAUUUUUUACACCAUAUGAUUUGCAGGUUCCUGCGCUUGAGACUCCCGAGGGGCCUAUAUUUGAGAGUAAUGCAAUUGCUCGCUAUGGUGAGGGACAAAAUAGUCAUUAACAUUUCUAAUCUUUUUUUUUUUUAAUUAUUAUUAUGGUGAUGGUUCUUAUUUUGUCAUAUUGUUUGUUGAAGUUGCUCGUUUGAAGCCUGAAAAUACUCUCUUUGGAUCUUCACCGAUAGAAUAUGUAAGUUUUUUUUGUGUUCUUUUCUCAUGAAUCAUGAUGAAGGAAUAAUGAUACUUCUAUAUAAAAAAGUUUGUUUAAUUUUAGAAAAAUAUUUUAUACAGGGCCAAAUUGAGCAGUGGAUUGACUUUUCUGCAUUGGAGCUUGAUGCAAAUAUGAGAGCAUGGGUCUUUCCAAGACUUGGAUAUGCCACAUACAUCAAAUCUGUUAGUUACUCCUGCUCUUUUCUUUUUGUUUUUUUUUUAAUAUUAUUCUUUUGCUCGUUUGAUAUUUUUUUUUUGAAAUGGUCUAUAUGAUAAAUCUGUGUGUAUGCAUGAUUUGAAGGCUGAGGAGAGUUAUAUAUCUGGUGUGAAAAGAGGUCUUGGUGCUCUAAACACGCAUCUUGCUUCACGUACUUUUUUGGUUGGUGAUUCCGUGACUUUGGCUGACAUCAUCAUGACAUGCAACUUGGUGAAUGGUUUUAAAUUUUUGUUUACAAAGAGUUUCACUUCUGAGUUUCCUCAUGUUGAGAGGUAUUUCUGGACCAUGGUUAAUCAACCAAACUUCAGUAAGAUAAUUAAAAGAAUGGGGGAAGUCAAGCAAGCAGAAGUUGUUCUUCCUUUUACUUCCACCAAGAAACCAGAGUCCAAACCAAAAUCUGAACCUAAAAAAGAAGAAGCCCCUAAGCCCAAGCCUGAACCCGAAGCUGCCCCAGAAGAGGAAGAGGCACCCAAGCCUAAGGCAAAGAAUCCUCUUGAUUUAUUGCCUCCAAGUCCAAUGGUUUUGGAUGACUGGAAAAGGCUUUACUCUAACACCAAAACUAACUUCCGUGAGGUUGCAAUCAAAGGUAUUUUCUUUUUUGACUUUUUUUUAAAAAAAAAUAUAUAUCUUCUUCUCAGACAACAGUUGGCUGAUAUAUUUGUUGAUUUUGUUGCAGGUUUUUGGGACAUGUAUGAUCCAGAGGGCUACUCUCUGUGGUUUUGUAACUACAAGUACAAUGAUGAGAACACUGUCUCAUUUGUGACAAUGAAUAAGGUUGGUGGAUUCCUUCAGCGUAUGGAUCUUGCAAGGAAAUAUGCUUUUGGAAAGAUGUUGAUUAUUGGAAACGAGCCUCCAUUCAAGGUCAAGGGUUUGUGGCUUUUCCGUGGGACUGAAAUCCCAAAAUUUGUGAUGGAUGAGUGUUAUGACAUGGAGCUUUACGAGUGGACCAAGGUUGACCUUUCUGACGAGGCACAAAAGGAGCGAGUGAAUCAGAUGAUUGAAGAUUUUGAGCCUUUUGAGGGUGAAGCUCUUUUGGAUGCUAAAUGCUUCAAAUGAGGGAAAAUGCUUCUAAGAUUACAACUUAACGGAUUUCCAAUAACAUGUGAAAAUUAUUGAAGAUUACAUCAAUUUUAGGGCCGUUUACACAUAGAAUGUUCUGUAAAUAUCUAGAUAUCAAACUUGAUGAUUCGUUGAUGUAUUAUGGCAUGUACUUGGAAAUAUGUGUUUCGUUCAAUGAUUGAACCCAACUCGUAAGCAUUAUCACUCCAAAUGAUCUUAAUUAGAGAUACAUAUUGAGUUUAAUGAGUGAAAUAAAUGCUUUAGGGAGAAAGGAUGCAUCACUAUUACUUUUCAACAGAUGUACCUAUUUAUGUCGUAUGUGUAUCUGUACAUGAAUUUGGUAAAAAAGUUUUAGCUGAAUGAGAGAUACUUUUUGGAAAGGACAAACGAUGUUGUCUAGCUUGAGAACAAAUGAUACAAGAGUCAAGACAUGCAUGGCCAUAUAAAGAAAGAUUGUGUAAAAUUUUCUUAAAUUUGUCAAGAGGAACAUGACCAAAACGUCAACGUCACAUAACCAAAAUGUUGAUGUCACGUAGUAAAGAAACAUAAGGAAAGACUUGUUUUGAUCUCAUUGUGAUAAUAAAAUAAAAUAAAAUAAAAUAAAAUAAAAAAGUCAUUUAUUUUUUGUGGAAAUUUGCCUUCCAAUAUAUUCAAGUCAUCAAUAGUUCAAGGGUUAAAAGAUGUAACUUGUUCUUAUGUAAAUUAAAGAGAACACUGUAGGGAAUCAUUGAGUGUCAAAUUGCAUUUAAUCCAUAUUUUCAAUUUUUAACUAGUAACAUCCCAUAUCUAUAUCUAUAUCUAUAUGAUACAUACUUAUAAAGCU
This 7221-nucleotide long non-coding RNA is filed under the name Lactuca sativa (garden lettuce). Its description in RNAcentral is "long non-coding RNA (LSAT_LNC005696)". Lineage: Eukaryota; Viridiplantae; Streptophyta; Magnoliopsida; Asterales; Asteraceae. The record is from RNAcentral.